Molecule: small RNA, 460 nt
Filed under: Pan troglodytes (chimpanzee)
Lineage: Eukaryota; Metazoa; Chordata; Mammalia; Primates; Hominidae
Description: processed transcript
Source: RNAcentral
UCUUCAGGAAGCACUCCUUAAUAAAUCCCUUGCAGAUGAAGCCUCAUCUCAAAGUCUGCAUCUGGAAGAACUCAACUAAGAAAGCUGCACUUUCGAAAGAGCAGAAUCGUGGGUAGAAUUGUAUUAAUAGAUCUCUCGAGCUGGCUGGAGUCCUACAGGUACUCCUUCCAGGAUGAGGAGGACAUGUUCAUGGUGGUGGACCUGCUCCUGGGAGGCGACCUGCGCUACCAUCUGCAGCAGAAUGUGCAUUUCACAGAGGGGACUGUGAAACUCUACAUCUGUGAGCUGGCACUGGCCCUGGAGUAUCUUCAGAGGUACCACAUCAUCCACAGCAUUUUCAUGAAUUUAAAGCAGAUGCUUCAAACUCUGUCUUUAAAUUCUUCGUUCCUGUUCCCAUGGACCACUUAAUUUUAAAAUGUUAACACAUUAAAAGGCAAAUAAACGAUACACUAAAAGCACA